GGAAUUUUGGACAAUGGACGCAAGUCUGAUCCAGCCAUUCCGCGUGCAGGACGAAGGCCUUCGGGUUGUAAACUGCUUUUGUACGGAACGAAAAAGCUCUUACUAAUACUAGGAGUCCAUGACGGUACCGUAAGAAUAAGCACCGGCUAACUACGUGCCAGCAGCCGCGGUAAUACGUAGGGUGCGAGCGUUAAUCGGAAUUACUGGGCGUAAAGCGUGCGCAGGCGGUUAUAUAAGACAGAUGUGAAAUCCCCGGGCUCAACCUGGGAACUGCAUUUGUGACUGUAUAGCUAGAGUGCGGCAGAGGGGGAUGGAAUUCCGCGUGUAGCAGUGAAAUGCGUAGAUAUGCGGAGGAACACCGAUGGCGAAGGCAAUCCCCUGGGCCUGCACUGACGCUCAUGCACGAAAGCGUGGGGAGCAAACAGGAUUAGAUACCCUGGUAGUCCACGCCCUAAACGAUGUCAACUGGUUGUUGGGUCUUCACUGACUCAGUAACGAAGCUAACGCGUGAAGUUGACCGCCUGGGGAGUACGGCCGCAAGGUUGAAACUCAAAUGAAUUGACGG
This 565-nucleotide ribosomal RNA is filed under the name uncultured bacterium. RNAcentral describes it as "bacterial SSU rRNA". It matches the Rfam family "Bacterial small subunit ribosomal RNA", at positions 358 to 916 of the family's 1533-position model. The record is from RNAcentral.